GAUCAUGGUAGUUUUAAACUCAAACCGCUAGGCCGUGGCCCUAGCAAUAGAAGACCCACCCAUACCUUCUCCAUGACC
RNAcentral lists this transfer RNA (78 nucleotides) under Uromastyx dispar. RNAcentral's name for it is "tRNA-His". Lineage: Eukaryota; Metazoa; Chordata; Lepidosauria; Squamata; Agamidae. The record is from RNAcentral.